This is a long non-coding RNA of Ictalurus punctatus (channel catfish), 793 nucleotides long. The record is from Ensembl. Lineage: Eukaryota; Metazoa; Chordata; Actinopteri; Siluriformes; Ictaluridae.
AGCUCUGGAUAAAUGAGGUGUUAUUUGAUGAUUUGUUUGCUAAUUUAAAGUAUGAAUGCUAACGUGUGUGUGUGUGUGUGUGUGUGUGUGUGUGUGUGUGUGUGUGUGUGUGUGUGUGCAGUUUACUGAGUGGACUGACUAACCGUGCGGUGUGGAUCGCUCCGAACCUGCAGGACUGUCCCACUGUGGUGAACAAACUCUCCGACCUUGAGCACAUCACAGUCACUAACGGUGAACAUCUCUCACUUGUAAAUCAUAACGCAGUGCAGAAUAAACCUGAUUCGCUUCCUAUCAGUGACCUUCAGUUAAAGUGUACACUAAAGGACGGAUGGAGAAAUCAUUCGCAAUACUGAGUUAUUUCAGGUCUUUUAUUUAUACUGUGCUAGGUAGCUUGAUGGUGAACAGUGGAGAGUAAGAGCGCAGUGCAUGAGUCGGUAUGAUGAGCGUGUCUCUCUGCAGACACGGCGCUGGACGUGCUAAACAUAAUCGAGGACAUAAUGAAAGAAAGCAAGUCCCUGGACGAGCAAGACCUGUGGCUGGUGCUGAACACACUGGAGGUCGUGCUGAAUGUCAGCAUCAUGACCUUUGACCUCGCACAGGUCAUCAUCAACAUCACAUCAGACAUCCUGAACUCACAGAGCGACCUUCAUCCCUUCACUAACUAUAUUCUGAACAUCACAGAAAAGGUGGGAAACAGAAUGUCCAAGCUGAAUAACGGAUCUGUCAGCGUGGUGGCCGCAGCGUUAGCUCUGGCUGUGGUCGACGUCAAUACAGAGAAUUUCUACAAUCUGAC